Molecule: long non-coding RNA, 742 nt
Organism: Cyprinus carpio carpio
Lineage: Eukaryota; Metazoa; Chordata; Actinopteri; Cypriniformes; Cyprinidae
Source: Ensembl
GCCCUCCAGAUGGGCUAUGGCCGGGAAGAGGUCAGGGAGCAAGGGGGCCACGGGGAUCCGGGGCGUGGGACUCGGGCCCCGGCCUGAGUCUUAGGUAUCCGUAGCGCCCUCCUUCUUCCUCCUCUUCGCUGAAUACAGCUCACGGUAAGUACUGGUUCACACAGUUCGUUCUCGAGGUGCUCACUCUCUUUCUCUUCCUCCACAGGCAACGGCUGGGACACAAAAGCACAGUUAGUUCAGCUUGGUUUUGCUCUCACCUCUUCGCUGAUUACAGCUCACAGUAAGUACUGGUUCACACAGUUCGUUCCUUGGGUGCUCACUCGCUUUCUCUUUCUCCACAGGCAGCGGCGUAAGUACAGGUUUCCUCGGUCUCUCCUCGUGUUACCCACUCUCUCUCCUUUUCUCUCCACAGGUAUCAACUUAGGCACAAUAGCACAGUUAGUUUGCUUUGAAUGGCUCUCACCUCUGGGCUGGACACAGCGUACUGUAAGUACAGGUUCCCUCUGGUUCUCCUUGUGUUACUCACUCUCUCUUUCCUUUCCUCUCCACAGGUAUCAACUUGGACACAAAGCACAGUUACUCUGCUUUGGAUGGCUUUCACCUCUGGGCUGGACACAGCGUACCGUGCUAUCUCCGGAGAUCUGAAGCACGCUCACAACAUAUACUGUACUGAACUAGGCUAGGACCAGCAGUCUCCUUGUCCUCCCGCGACGAAGUGCGUGAAGGCGGGGGUUUAUCUGAC